CCCAGCUAACAAUUUUUUCCGAGGGCUCUGAUGUCCGAUUUUUUGUCGAGAUUUUCAGACGUUUCUUCAGAAAAGUUUCCGAGUAAUCUGCACAUACUCGUUUCUUUUGUUUUGUUUGAACAAAACAAAGCAAAAGAGAAAAAAAAAACAUCGUAUACAGAGAGUUAACUCUUUUUUGGCGAGAAUUUCUAAUGUUACUCCAGAAAAGUUUCCGAGUAAUCUGCACAUACUCGUUUCUUUUGUUUAAAAAAAAAAAAAAACACAAAAAUUCUGACAUUAGCAGAGAGUUAACUUUUUUCUGUUGAGAUUUAUUUUACCGUUCCUUUCGAAAAGUUUCCGAGUACUCUGCACAUGCUCGGUUGAAAUUAUUUGAAGAAUUUUGUGUAUACAACUUUUUUGUUUUUUUUGAUUAUGAUCAGUUUGUCGUCAGAAUUUGUACGGAGCACGAGUGCAGUGUGUUGCAGUGAAAAGUUAAAAUGAAAAUUAAAGGAAGAUUUGGACCUUCAGUACCUUAUGCUACGCCGUUUAAAAAAUCAACGCCAUGACAAUGUAAACACUUUUACAUAUGAAAAUUUUAGACUUAUUUUUCAAACUGGCGAGGUCAACGUUUUCGUGGCACGAAAUGUACCAAAAUACAGCUGUAAAGGACAUCUAAUUUAUUAGGCUCGUUAAAGAUGCGGCAUUGGAACAUAUUCCGGAAACUAUGGGAAGUGCCAUAUAAACCCAUAUAAAACAUUUCUUCAAAUCGGCUAAAGAUAGGCUUAACAAACCUUAACCUGGGCCAAAAUCGAACUCAGUCAACCUUAAACUCCUUUGUUCAUCUGAGAAUAAGCCAGCCGAUGACUUGAGCCAGCCAAAUAUGCGCUUUAUAUAUUUCCACCCUUAAUUAUAUUGAUUUACAUUGAAUUGCAACUUUUUUUGUUUUUUAUAUAUUAAUUUCCGUAUUCCUUAUAUUUUACAAAAAAAAAAAAAAACUGAAUACAAAUGUUCUGUCAUUAAAUUGAAAAAUACAAACAUAAACAAUUAUCUAAAAACUAGAUAAAGUUUUAUUAUUUCUUUAUGUUUUUCGAUUACAACUAUAAAAUAAAUGUAGAUUUUUUUGCGAAUUUCGUAUCAAACAUCCUAUUAUUUUCCGAUUUUCGAAUGAAUUAUUCGAAUUUUUCCCGAUUUUCGGAUAAAACUAUAGAAUAAAUUCAGAUUUUUUUUCCGAAUUUCGAAUCAAACAUCCGAAAAUUUUCAGAAUUUCGUAUCAAACAUCCUAUUAUUUUCCGAUUUUCGAAUGAAUUAUUCGAAUUUUUCCCGAUUUUCGGAUAAAACUAUAGAAUAAAUUCAGAUUUUUUUCCGAAUUUCGAAUCAAACAUCCGAAAAUUUUCAGAAUUUCGUAUCAAACAUCCUAUUAUUUUCCGAUUUUCGAAUGAAUUAUUCGAAUUUUUCCCGAUUUUCGGAUAAAACUAUAGAAUAAAUUCAGAUUUUUUUCCGAAUUUCGUAUCAAACAUCCGAAAUUUUUCCGAAUUUCGUAUCAAACAUCCUAUAUUUCUCCGAAUUUUCCUUUUUUCUUUGCCGAAUUCUAUACGAAUUCGCCCCGAAACUCUUACGUUCUUUCAGAAUUUUUUCCGCAAAAUCUUUCAGAAUCUUGGGCAAUCUCACACAAUUUUUUUCCGAUUUCUUUCCGAAUUCGACAUCAGAGUCGGAAACUUGUGCAGAGUUUUUUUCCGAAUUCGGAAGAAAAUCGGAAAAAAAUGUUUGCUGGGAUAUUACAUUUC
Molecule: long non-coding RNA, 1763 nt
Organism: Musca domestica (house fly)
Lineage: Eukaryota; Metazoa; Arthropoda; Insecta; Diptera; Muscidae
Exons: 3
Source: RefSeq, a predicted model, not a curated record